RNAcentral lists this ribosomal RNA (442 nucleotides) under uncultured bacterium. RNAcentral describes it as "partial 16S ribosomal RNA". It matches the Rfam family "Bacterial small subunit ribosomal RNA", at positions 338 to 795 of the family's 1533-position model. The record is from RNAcentral.
CCUACGGGAGGCAGCAGUAGGGAAUCUUUCACAAUGGGCGAAAGCCUGAUGGAGCAACGCCGCGUGCAGGAUGAAGGCCUUCGGGUUGUAAACUGCUUUUAUAAGCGAGAAAUAUGAUGGUAACUUAUGAAUAAGGAUCGGCUAAAUACGUGCCAGCAGCCGCGGUCAUACGUAGGAUCCGAGCAUUAUCCGGAGUGACUGGGUGUAAAGAGUUGCGUAGGUGGCAUAAUAAGUAGCUAGUGAAAUUUGGUGGCUCAACCAUUCAGACUAUUAGCGAAACUGUUAAGCUCGAGACCGUGAGGGGUAACUGGAAUUUCGAGUGUAGGGGUGAAAUCCGUAGAUAUUAGAAGGAACACCAAUAGCGUAGGCAGGAUGCUGGAACGGUUCUGACGCUAAGGCACGAAAGCGUAGGGAGCAAACGGGAUUAGAUACCCCAGUAGUC